RNAcentral lists this ribosomal RNA (254 nucleotides) under uncultured bacterium. RNAcentral describes it as "partial 16S ribosomal RNA". It matches the Rfam family "Bacterial small subunit ribosomal RNA", at positions 524 to 776 of the family's 1533-position model. The record is from RNAcentral.
UACGUAGGUGGCAAGCGUUGUCCGGAUUUACUGGGCGUAAAGAGCGCGCAGGCGGUCGUUCAAGUCGCGUGUAAAAGCCCCCGGCUCAACUGGGGAGGGUCACGCGAUACUGAUCGACUCGAAGGCAGGAGAGGGUAGUGGAAUUCCCGGUGUAGUGGUGAAAUGCGUAGAUAUCGGGAGGAACACCAGUGGCGAAGGCGACUACCUGGCCUGUUUCUUGACGCUGAGGCGCGAAAGCUAGGGGAGCAAACGGG